CCUCUCAAUGAUUUUGAGAGUGUUUAUUUUCUCCUCAAAGGGCUCGGCUCUGAAUACGAUCCUUUUGUGACGUCAAUUGCAACCAGAGUCGACCCACUGUCCGUUGAUGAACUUUAUGGCCACCUACUUGCUCACGAGA
Alnus glutinosa is the source of this 139-nucleotide small nucleolar RNA. RefSeq annotates it as small nucleolar RNA Z247. Lineage: Eukaryota; Viridiplantae; Streptophyta; Magnoliopsida; Fagales; Betulaceae. The record is from RefSeq and is a predicted model, not a curated record. The transcript has a single exon.